CUUCAAUGGAGUCCUUCCAGCAAAACUAUCAUGGUGGGGGAGUGGUGGUUGUCAUCGAAUUACAGAGGCAGUGGGAGGUGGCAGGUGGUCUAAUAUCUCUUUGUGAUAACUCUGCACGUCAACGAUCAGGCUGAUCAAGGAAAAGUACCAUUUCCUGCACUGUCAGAAUUCCACAGAUGGCUUUUAGUUUCAGGCGUUAUACACAAGGAUAGAGAAUGAACACACGAAAUGCAUAGAACAUCUAGCAAUUACUUCGGACAAGAUUAAAAAGAAAGAAACACACAGAUGCCUGUCUGGAUGCUUCCGCUGAAAUUAGAAACAACCAAACAAUUUCAUCGGAUACUCCAAACAGUGCAACCAACCAACUAUUCACUGCUUGGAAACUGGGGAAGAAAGUAAAAGGAACUAGCAUUCAUCAUGACUAUGGACUAAAGAAGAAGGCAAUCAGCAAUCUACAGAAUGCUUUUGUGACACAAAAGUGGUACUUGUCAAAAUGCUUACAGAAGCUCAACAAGAAAUUGACAAUUAACUUGGAGAAAGGGGGUGCAAGAGGACCUAAUGGCUUUACAUCUUUCCAAAAAAUGUAGCUCGAAAUAAUGAGGAUUGGAGAAAAGAACCCCCAUGUAGCCAACCCCAACUAGCUUGGGACUAAUGCUUGAUUCAGUUGAGUUGAGCUAUCAAAAAUUAAACCUUAGGAAAAACAGAUUAUACUAUUAUAA
Ricinus communis (castor bean) is the source of this 719-nucleotide long non-coding RNA. RefSeq lists it as uncharacterized. The record is from RefSeq and is a predicted model, not a curated record. NCBI's taxonomy places the organism in Eukaryota, Viridiplantae, Streptophyta, Magnoliopsida, Malpighiales, Euphorbiaceae. The transcript is spliced from 2 exons.